GACGAACGCUGGCGGCGUGCUUAACACAUGCAAGUCGGACGGUGAAGCACCUUCCUUUUGGUGGGUGUGGAUGAGUGGCGAACGGAUGAGUAACACGUGAGUAACCUGCCCCCUUCUUCUGGAUAACCGCAUGAAAGUGUGGCUAAUACGGGAUAUUCUGUGCCUGCUGCAUGGUGGGUGUGGGAAAGAUGCGCCUUUGGGUGUUUUUGGUGGGGGAUGGGCUCGCGGCCUAUCAGCUUGUUGGUGGGGUGAUGGCCUACCAAGGCGGUGACGGGUAGCCGGCCUGAGAGGGUGGACGGUCACACUGGGACUGAGACACGGCCCAGACUCCUACGGGAGGCAGCAGUGGGGAAUAUUGCACAAUGGGCGCAAGCCUGAUGCAGCGACGCCGCGUGAGGGAUGGAGGCCUUCGGGUUGUAAACCUCUUUCGCCAGUGAAGCAGGCCUGCUCCUUGUGGGUGGGUUGACGGUAGCUGGAUAAGAAGCGCCGGCUAACUACGUGCCAGCAGCCGCGGUAAUACGUAGGGCGCGAGCGUUGUCCGGAAAUAUUGGGCGUAAAGAGCUCGAAGCGGCUGGUCGCGUCUGUCGUGAAACCCUCUGGCUUAACUGGGGGCUUGCGUGGGUACUGGCCGGCUUGAGUGGGGGUGGGGAGACUUGUAAUUCCUUUGUGCGCUGGAACCACACAUAUAAGAAGAACAACCCAGCCUAUGUGAGUUUUGGGCCCUGACC
RNAcentral lists this ribosomal RNA (728 nucleotides) under uncultured Actinomyces sp. RNAcentral's name for it is "bacterial SSU rRNA". It matches the Rfam family "Bacterial small subunit ribosomal RNA", at positions 28 to 741 of the family's 1533-position model. The record is from RNAcentral. Lineage: Bacteria; Bacillati; Actinomycetota; Actinomycetes; Actinomycetales; Actinomycetaceae.